GAUGAAGAACGUAGCGAAAUGCGAUACAUAAUGUGAAUUGCAGAAUUCAGUGAAUCAUCGAGUCUUUGAACGCACAUUGCGCCCCCUGGUAUUCCGGGGGGCAUGCCUGUCCGAGCGUCAUUGCUGCCCUCAAGCACGGCUUGUGUGUUGGGCCUCCGCCCCCCGGCUCCCGGGGGGCGGGCCCGAAAGGCAGCGGCGGCACCGCGUCCGGUCCUCGAGCGUAUGGGGCUUCGUCACCCGCUCCGUAGGCCCGGCCGGCGCCCGCCGGCGACCCCCCUCAAUCUUUCCAGGUUGACCUCGGAUCAGGUAGGGAUACCCGCUGAACUUAAGCAUAUCAAUAAGCGGAGGA
Molecule: unclassified non-coding RNA, 349 nt
Filed under: soil metagenome
Description: partial contains 5.8S ribosomal RNA, internal transcribed spacer 2, and large subunit ribosomal RNA
Rfam family: 5.8S ribosomal RNA (bases 1-120)
Source: RNAcentral